AGUCGAACGGUGAUGUCAGAGCUUGCUCUGGCGGAUCAGUGGCGAACGGGUGAGUAACACGUGAGUAACCUGCCCCCGACUCUGGGAUAACUGCUAGAAAUGGUAGCUAAUACCGGAUAUGACGAUUGGCCGCAUGGUCUGGUCGUGGAAAGAAUUUCGGUUGGGGAUGGACUCGCGGCCUAUCAGGUUGUUGGUGAGGUAAUGGCUCACCAAGCCUACGACGGGUAGCCGGCCUGAGAGGGUGACCGGCCACACUGGGACUGAGACACGGCCCAGACUCCUACGGGAGGCAGCAGUGGGGAAUAUUGCACAAUGGGCGAAAGCCUGAUGCAGCAACGCCGCGUGAGGGAUGACGGCCUUCGGGUUGUAAACCUCUUUUAGUAGGGAAGAAGCGAAAGUGACGGUACCUGCAGAAAAAGCACCGGCUAACUACGUGCCAGCAGCCGCGGUAAUACGUAGGGUGCAAGCGUUGUCCGGAAUUAUUGGGCGUAAAGAGCUCGUAGGCGGUUUGUCGCGUCUGCUGUGAAAUCCCGAGGCUCAACCUCGGGUCUGCAGUGGGUACGGGCAGACUAGAGUGCGGUAGGGGAGAUUGGAAUUCCUGGUGUAGCGGUGGAAUGCGCAGAUAUCAGGAGGAACACCGAUGGCGAAGGCAGAUCUCUGGGCCGUAACUGACGCUGAGGAGCGAAAGCAUGGGGAGCGAACAGGAUUAGAUACCCUGGUAGUCCAUGCCGUAAACGUUGGGAACUAGAUGUGGGGACCAUUCCACGGUCUCCGUGUCGCAGCUAACGCAUUAAGUUCCCCGCCUGGGGAGUACGGCCGCAAGGCUAAAACUCAAAGGAAUUGACGGGGGCCCGCACAAGCGGCGGAGCAUGCGGAUUAAUUCGAUGCAACGCGAAGAACCUUACCAAGGCUUGACAUAUACCGGAAACAUGCAGAAAUGUGUGCCCCGCAAGGUCGGUAUACAGGUGGUGCAUGGUUGUCGUCAGCUCGUGUCGUGAGAUGUUGGGUUAAGUCCCGCAACGAGCGCAACCCUCGUUCUAUGUUGCCAGCACGUAAUGGUGGGAACUCAUAGGAGACUGCCGGGGUCAACUCGGAGGAAGGUGGGGAUGACGUCAAAUCAUCAUGCCCCUUAUGUCUUGGGCUUCACGCAUGCUACAAUGGCCGGUACAAAGGGCUGCGAUACCGUAAGGUGGAGCGAAUCCCAAAAAGCCGGUCUCAGUUCGGAUUGAGGUCUGCAACUCGACCUCAUGAAGUCGGAGUCGCUAGUAAUCGCAGAUCAGCAACGCUGCGGUGAAUACGUUCCCGGGCCUUGUACACACCGCCCGUCAAGUCAUGAAAGUCGGUAACACCCGAAGCCAGUGGCCUAACCGCAAGGGAGGAGCGUCCGAA
Molecule: ribosomal RNA, 1389 nt
Filed under: Clavibacter michiganensis subsp. michiganensis
Lineage: Bacteria; Bacillati; Actinomycetota; Actinomycetes; Micrococcales; Microbacteriaceae
Description: 16S ribosomal RNA
Rfam family: Bacterial small subunit ribosomal RNA
Source: RNAcentral